GGAUCAACAUGUCGGUCGUGCCUCCGGUACGUACUGGUAUCGUUGAUUUCUACCUUCUGACGAACCAUGAUGUCAUUAAUUUGGUGUCAUGGGGAAUCAGGACUGUUACUUUGAAAAAAUUAGAGUGUUUAAAGCAGGCACACGCUUGAAUACAUUAGCAUGGAAUAAUGAAAUAGGACGUUUGACCCUAUUUUGUUGGUUUCUAGGAUCGACGUA
RNAcentral lists this ribosomal RNA (216 nucleotides) under uncultured fungus. RNAcentral describes it as "partial small subunit ribosomal RNA". The stretch from base 38 to 216 matches the Rfam family "Eukaryotic small subunit ribosomal RNA", at positions 684 to 864 of the family's 1831-position model. Lineage: Eukaryota; Fungi. The record is from RNAcentral.